AUUGAACGCUGGCGGCAUGCCUUACACAUGCAAGUCGAACGGCAGCACGGGUGCUUGCACCUGGUGGCGAGUGGCGAACGGGUGAGUAAUACAUCGGAACGUACCUUAUCGUGGGGGAUAACGCAGCGAAAGCUGUGCUAAUACCGCAUACGCCCUGAGGGGGAAAGCGGGGGAUCGAAAGACCUCGCGCGAUUAGAGCGGCCGAGGCCUGGUUAGCUUGUUGGUUGGGUAAAAGCCCCCCAAGGCGACGAUCAGUACCUGGGAUGAGAGGACGAUCAGCCAAACUGGGACGGAGACACGGCCCGGCCUCCUACGGGAGGCAGCAGGGGGGAACUUUGGACAAUGGGGGCAACCCUGAUCCAGCAAUGCCGCGUGAGUGAAGAAGGCCUUCGGGUUGUAAAGCUCUUUUGUCAGGGAAGAAACACCGGCUCUAACACAGUCCGGGAAUGACGGUACCUGAAGAAUAAGCACCGGUUAACUACGUGCCAGCCGCCGCGGUAA
Molecule: ribosomal RNA, 501 nt
Filed under: uncultured bacterium
Lineage: Bacteria
Description: partial 16S ribosomal RNA
Rfam family: Bacterial small subunit ribosomal RNA
Source: RNAcentral